GUCGAGAAUCUUUCACAAUGGGGGCAACCCUGAUGGAGCGACGCCGCGUGGAGGAUAAGGUCUUCGGAUUGUAAACUCCUGUCAUGCGUGAACAAGGUUGCUUGGAUAAUACCUGAGCAAAUUGAUGGUAGCGCAAGAGGAAGAGACGGCUAACUCUGUGCCAGCAGCCGCGGUAAUACAGAGGUCUCAAGCGUUGUUCGGAAUCACUGGGCGUAAAGGGUGCGUAGGUGGCGUGGCAAGUCAGAUGUGAAAGCCCGGGGCUCAACCUCGGAACUGCAUCCGAUACUGCCAUGCUAGAGUACUGGAGGGGUGACUAGAAUUCUCGGUGUAGCAGUGAAAUGCGUAGAUAUCGAGAGGAAUACCAAAGGCGUAGGCAGGUCACUGGACAGUUACUGACACUGAGGCACGAAGGCCAGGGGAGCGAACGGGAUUAGAAACCCUGGUAGUCC
This 449-nucleotide ribosomal RNA is filed under the name uncultured bacterium. Its description in RNAcentral is "partial 16S ribosomal RNA". It matches the Rfam family "Bacterial small subunit ribosomal RNA", at positions 354 to 796 of the family's 1533-position model. The record is from RNAcentral.